Molecule: RNA transcript, 2160 nt
Organism: Cavia porcellus (domestic guinea pig)
Lineage: Eukaryota; Metazoa; Chordata; Mammalia; Rodentia; Caviidae
Gene: Mtarc2
Gene name: mitochondrial amidoxime reducing component 2
Exons: 8
Source: RefSeq, a predicted model, not a curated record
GCUCAGCGCCUUAAGCCCCUCCCCCGCUCCACGGCGAAGUCUCCUACCAGUGCCGCGCUUCACGGUCAUGGGUGCUGCCGGCUCACGCGCGCUCUCCAGCCUUGGCCUCCCCGCGCCCGCGCGGCCCGCGUGGAUCGGCGUCGCGGUGCUGGGGCUGGCGGCGGUGGCGCUGGGAGCGGUGGCCUGGCGCACACGACCCCGGCGACGGCGGCAGAGGCAGCAGGUGGGCACCGUGGCUCAGCUUUGGGUCUACCCGAUCAAGUCCUGCAAGGGAGUGGCGGUGCCCGAGGCCGAGGUGACGGCGCUGGGGCUGCGCGUGGGACACCUGCGCGACAGGUUUUGGAUGGUCGUCAAGGAGGAUGGACACAUGGUCACCGCUCGGCAGGAGCCACGCCUUGUGCUGGUCUCCAUCACCUCAAAGGACAGGUCCCUGGUGCUCCAGGCGCCCGGCAUGGACCCGCUGGUGUUGCCUUGCAAGCUGCCUUCCUCAAACAAGCUCCUCGACUGCAGGCUGUUUGGCCUUGACAUCAAAGGCAGGGACUGUGGUGAUGAGGUGGCACGGUGGUUCACCAGCUUCCUGAAGACGGAAGCCUACAGGCUGGUACAGUACGAGACCAGCAUGAAGGGGCGCACGUCCAAGGAGAUCUUCUCCAAUGCACCGGACUUCGGGUACCAGGUGCCCUACCCCGACUGCAGUCCUGUCCUGCUCCACACGGAGGCCUCGCUGGUUGACCUGAACACCAGGCUGGAGAAGAAGGUGAAGAUGGAGAACUUCCGGCCCAACAUCGUGGUGACUGGCUGCGGUGCCUUCGAGGAGGACUCCUGGGAGGACCUUGUCAUCGGUGACGUUGAGAUAAAGAGGGUGAUGUCUUGCCCCAGGUGCAACUUGACCACCGUGGACCCCGACACAGGUGUCAUUGACCGGAAGGAGCCGCUGCAGACCUUGAAGAGGUUGGACACCGGGUGCCCUGUGAUCUUAGUGCCGUCUGUGUGGGUCCAGGGCUGUGGUGCCUAGGACCAGCUGCCCAGGGAGGGCACCCCGAAUCUGCUCAGGGGCUCACGUGACCUCAGUUUAUGGGACUGAGCAUUGGCCCAGCUCCACCUUGCUGCUUCUUUCUUGACUAGCUACCGCCUGUGCGACCCCUCCAUGAAGCAUUUAUACCAGUCGUCCCCGCUCUUUGGGGUCUACUUUACGGUGGAAAAGAUUGGAGUCCUGCGAGUUGGGGACCCCGUGUACCAGCUGGUGGACUGAGCGGCCCCCCCAGGCUGACCUGAGCGAGUGUCCAUGAGGCAUGGAUGAGGAUCUUAACAGCUGCAAGGUCACCUUGAGAAGUCUACUACCAGCCUCCAACCGACUUCUUCAACUGGAAAUGAGUCUCACUUCUGGCUCUUCAGAGUUACCUGGGCUACAAAUUAAUGCGAGGAAGGUCUUUGACGUGAUUGGGAACAUGAAGGUGUAUAAAUUCUGAUAAAGGCUCUUUAGAUCAACAAAAUUAUAAAAUCAUCGCAAAUGUGAUUGUGGCUGUUACACUUUUUCAAUCCCUGAUUAAUGCUGGUGAGUAAAGGAAGGCUGAAGAGUUGGCCGUAAAGCUGUGAUUUAAAAAGAAGGACACUUUAUUUCCUGCUGUCCAUUGUUUUAGGUCCUUGCUGCCUGACCGCUUGUCAAGCUCACAGGUCCAGUGGCCCUGGUCCCAGCUGGCUACCGAGCUCUCCUUCUGUUCCCAGCCUGUGUCACCGGGUUGGCGUGGGGCUUGAGGGUGGCCUUGCCUUAUAAACUCUUUUAUAUUUGAUUUUGCCUCUGAUGUGCCAUAAGAAAUCAUGUGUCUGUUGAUAUGUUACCUGGAAGUCCCAAGUGAGAAAAAGCAAAGAAUGGAAUUUGUCCUUUUUUGGUAUGGGGGAUCAAACUCAUGAUUUUGUGCUUGUUAGGCAGGUACUUGUGCCACUGAGCUAAAUCCCAUUCCAAAGAAGAGAAUUUAAAAGGGAUGCAUUUAAGGAAGAAGAGCAAGAAAACAUGAAUGUAUUUUUAGAUGCAUUUUUAAAAAUAAGAGAAAUGAACUCUUCAAAUGAUUAAGCAAAAAUACUCGCUGCACUAAUAGGUGAAUGGAUUAACCCACUUACCACUUUAUGGUUUGCUUUUAAUAAACAUGGCUGUCAUCACUA